RNAcentral lists this long non-coding RNA (873 nucleotides) under Zea mays. RNAcentral's name for it is "drought-responsive long non-coding RNA". The record is from RNAcentral. Lineage: Eukaryota; Viridiplantae; Streptophyta; Magnoliopsida; Poales; Poaceae.
AUCUCUUUCUCUUUCUCUCUCUCUCUCUCCUGAAAUCUCUCUCUCGCUGACCUGAGAGUUAUCCAAAUACUCUGGUAUGGCGAGAUCCCCCUCCUCGGGUUCCCACUCAACUGCUGUAUCGUAGUAGUCGACUACUUCCCUGCAAUCCGUUGGUCAGCUCACAAUAGCAGAUGAGUCCAUUGGAGGAGUUCGACUAGUCUCCACCGCUGCUGCGAGAUUCCGCCAGGUACACCGCUGAAUUUCCAUUUGGUUUGGGCGUCCAGGUGUGAUCUGAGGGGGGUGGGGAUGCUGGAUUUUGGCCUCCUCCUCACCCUUCUCCGUUCCAAUCCUGUCUGAACCUCCGAGAAUUGCCGUUCUCCGGACGCGGGGAGUGCUGUUCACGGCAUUAGUGCUUUGAUCUGUGAACUUUGGCAGACGGAACCUACCUUUUCUCUCUUGCCUUUACCCCGAAAUCUCGUGUCAACUGUGGGUCAUAGUGAUACCGCUGCGGUUGUUUAGAGUUCUUAGACUUAUCCACCCCUAUACCAGCCGUUAGCUUUGGGUAAUCUGCUGUACUCUCCAAUGAGAAGUCCUAUAUUUGAACCCUAAAAAUUAAUAUAAAGUCUAAUUUAGAGUGUUUAGGUCUAAAAACAUUUGGAACUCCAAUAUUUAAGUUCUAUAUCAAGUCAUUGGAAAAUAAUUCAUAUUUGUGUGGUACCUAUGAACAUGCACUCGAAGUGAAGAUUAUAAAACUUCUGCCCGAGCAAAGCGGCCGACCAAGUUACCACAGAGCAAGUCAGCGAGGCGAAAUAGGCGACCAAGUCCCAACCGAGUAAGAAAGGGAGACGAAACUGCCGACCAAGUCUCUAGGCCCACAAGGUAGAAACCUGAACC